UCUUAGUAUAAUUUGCUUCCCACCUAGUUAGAUUCUCUAUAUCUUCUCAAAUCUAAUUAACUUAAUUAAAACCUAUCUUUUAUUCUUCUUACUUUAGAUAACAUAACAUAAAAAGAAAAUAAAGACACAACAUAAUACUAAACUAAAAUAUAGAAACUAAUUAAAUCUUAAAAGCUUUUUACUUGUAUUGGACAUCCUUUCUUUUUGCAUUGUAUAUUUCUAUAAAAUAUCUUAAGGGCAUAACGCAUGAAUAACAAAAGGUGA
Molecule: long non-coding RNA, 264 nt
Filed under: Elaeis guineensis (African oil palm)
Lineage: Eukaryota; Viridiplantae; Streptophyta; Magnoliopsida; Arecales; Arecaceae
Description: long non-coding RNA (EGUI_LNC036021)
Source: RNAcentral